UGGGGAAUAUUGCACAAUGGGCGAAAGCCUGAUGCAGCGACGCCGCGUGAGCGAUGAAGCCCUUCGGGGUGUAAAGCUCUUUCGGCUGGAACGAUAAUGACGGUACCAGCAGAAGAAGCUGCGGCUAACUACGUGCCAGCAGCCGCGGUAAUACGUAGGCAGCGAGCGUUGUUCGGAGUUACUGGGCGUAAAGAGUGCGUAGGCGGUGCGGCAAGUCUGGUGUGAAAUCUCCCGGCUUAACUGGGAGGGUGCGCUAGAAACUGCCGUGCUAGAGUGUGGGAGAGGUAAGCGGAAUUCCUGGUGUAGCGGUGAAAUGCGUAGAUAUCAGGAGGAACACCUGCGGUGUAGACAGCUUACUGGACCAUAACUGACGCUGAGGCACGAAAAAGCGUGGGUAGCAAAACA
Molecule: ribosomal RNA, 405 nt
Filed under: uncultured bacterium
Lineage: Bacteria
Description: bacterial SSU rRNA
Rfam family: Bacterial small subunit ribosomal RNA
Source: RNAcentral